Molecule: ribosomal RNA, 353 nt
Filed under: uncultured bacterium
Lineage: Bacteria
Description: bacterial SSU rRNA
Rfam family: Bacterial small subunit ribosomal RNA
Source: RNAcentral
CAGCAGCCGCGGUAAUACAGAGGGUGCAAGCGUUAAUCGGAAUUACUGGGCGUAAAGCGUGCGUAGGUGGUUUGUUAAGUCAGGUGUGAAAUCCUGGGGCUCAACCUCAGAAUGGCGCUUGAUACUGGCAGACUCGAGUGUGGUAGAGGAUAGUGGAAUUCCCGGUGUAGCGGUGAAAUGCGUAGAUAUCGGAAGGAACACCUGUGGCGAAAGCGGCUCACUGGACCAUUACUGACACUGAGGCACGAAAGCUGGGUAGCAAACAGGAUUAGAUACCCUGGUAGUCCUAGCCCUAAACGAUGAUCGCUUGGUGUGGCGGGUAUCCAACCCUGCCGUGCCGAAGCUAACGCGUU